UUAGAUCACCGAAGUUAAGCAUCAUUGGGAGCGGUCAGUACUUGGGUGGGUGACCACCUGGGAACACUGCGUGCCGUU
This is a non-coding RNA of Caerostris darwini, 78 nucleotides long. The record is from the annotation of a GenBank genome assembly. Lineage: Eukaryota; Metazoa; Arthropoda; Arachnida; Araneae; Araneidae.